Echria macrotheca is the source of this 118-nucleotide non-coding RNA. NCBI's taxonomy places the organism in Eukaryota, Fungi, Ascomycota, Sordariomycetes, Sordariales, Schizotheciaceae. The record is from the annotation of a GenBank genome assembly.
GGCAACGUGGCCGAGCGGUCUAAGGCGCCACGUUAAGGUGUUCAAUCCUUAAUCAUCAUCAUGUGGUUUCAUGAUUCCGUGGUCCGAAAGGGCGUGAGUUCGAAUCUCACCGUUGUCA